CUCUCUCCCCGCGGGGUCCCGGGGACCGUCCCACCCUGACUCCCUGGGCCGCGCGAGGGUUGCCCCCUCUGGGUAGAGCGUCCCCGCUCCGGGUAUCCGGGAGGCAGGGGGGCGGCGCGGCUGGAGGAGGCGGGGAGGGGAAGGGGGCCGCAGGGCUGGCCAGCUACUGACGCAGCGCACCGUGCUGGGGGCUUGGCAUCCGCUCGGUCACAAGCCUGGCUCGAAAGGGGGUAACGGCUCAGAAAGGAAUUCUUGCCUUCUGGAAAGAGUGGUGUCAUUGAGGAAUUCCCCAGCUGGGCACCGGCUUCCCUUUUACUUCUUGCUAGAGCCUCUGCCCCUUCCAACCUUUUGUUUGCCUCUGCCCUUGGUCUCUCUCCCCCAAUGUGUGGAUUCCUGCUCCCCGUACCAGCUGGGCAAAGAUCUCUGAGGGCUGCAUAGACGGCCAGGGGACGACAGCCAGUGGGGCAGGUGCUGCUUUUAUCCCGUCUGGAGAGAUGAGGAAACCUCCCCAAGAGGCCAGACACUUCCAGAGAAGGCCAGCCAAGGAUUCCACCCUCAGCAGGAAAUGAGCAUCAGACGCUGGUUGGGGGUGUUCCUGCCAGCUGCUGUCCCAGUGGCCACCUCCCUGAGGGAUGGGUAGGGGAGAGCAGGCCAGCUCCGCCCGGAAGAGAGGGGUGGACAGCAGGCAGAGCAGAGUGGCAUCAGACCCCUCCAGCCCAGCCCGGAAGUCAAGUGUAUCAGCUCCCGGCCAGCAGUAGCGGUCAGCUCCUCACCGGCAGCCCAGGGCUCAGAAGCCCAGGACAAAGUGAGUCGGCCUCCCUUCCCUCUGCUCAGAAAUGACAGCUGGUUGGUUUUCAAAGUUGUGAUGAAGCACGCAUAACGUAAUUUCCCAUUGUGACCAUCUUAAGUAUACAGGUCGGUGGUGUGUACGUUAUUAUGCAAUAUUAUUAUUACUUCACCACCAUCCCUCUCCAGAACAUUUUUCACCUUGCAAGAAUGAAAUUCUGUACUUCUUAAACGUUAACUCCCCAUUUCUUCUU
This is a long non-coding RNA of Leopardus geoffroyi (Geoffroy's cat), 1040 nucleotides long. RefSeq lists it as uncharacterized. NCBI's taxonomy places the organism in Eukaryota, Metazoa, Chordata, Mammalia, Carnivora, Felidae. The record is from RefSeq and is a predicted model, not a curated record. The transcript is spliced from 3 exons.